RNAcentral lists this long non-coding RNA (1093 nucleotides) under Lynx pardinus (Iberian lynx). The record is from RNAcentral. Lineage: Eukaryota; Metazoa; Chordata; Mammalia; Carnivora; Felidae.
UCUCCCUCUCCCCCUCUCUCUCCCUCUCCCUCUCUUUUGCUUGAAUUUGUCCUACAUUUCGUAAUAUUACGUGCCUGCCAUCCUUAUCCUAUGCCAGAGGUACACCACCAGUCUCACCCCCAUUCCGGCGUGGAGUUCUCUGAGUUCGGUGGCACUUGGGAUAUUCCACGUCAGUGCCAUGGGAAGAAAAGGGUAAGCAAAAAGCAGAAGGAUUAAUGCAAAAAUAUAUACAUCUAUAUAUCUGAUGUUCUAGUAUCCAAUUGCUCCUGCUUCAGCCUUUUAUCCAAAGCCUUGAGAGGGAUCUGCCUCAUCCAGGAGCUUCUCCUGCUUCGUUAGAGUAUCUUCGUUUUCUGUAUCAGACGCUGGCACUCCACGCCAGUGCACGGCUCCAUGGAAUGCCUGCUGUUGGACACUUGCAGACCUCUGCCACCAAACAACCUCCUGCAUUGGAAAUCGGGGGACUCCUCCAGGAUCUUAUGCGCGCUUGCUGUUUGAAGCUGCAGAAAAGUGAAUAAUCAAUUAAGUAUUGAUUUCUUGUAAGAUUUGGUAAAUUUCAAAGGCAAGACAAAGAGGAUGGCUUAAGGAAACACUGCAGGGACUUGGCGUAAAUUAGACAACUAACGGAAGCGCAGAAUAAAAUAACACCUCAACUGAAGAUUUCCUUGGAAGAAUUAGCACUAGCUAUUGGAAGACAAUGGUGGAUUUAAUCAAAACAGCAGGCAUGCAAGAAUUUUACCCGUGAACCAGAAAAAGGAGCUAAUUAUAACCACCUUUUUAAUGGAGCUAAUUUGACUGAAUGGAUGCAAAUGUGCUUUAUUUAUGGAUGAAGAAGCAAGCCUUACUGCAAUGAUCUUGGGAUCAUCGUAUCUGCUAAGCUUUGCAGCUCCUGUUACCUUCAGUACAUUUUUAUUUCCGGAGAAGGUAUUUAUAUGUAAACAACAGCUAACCAUGCAAAAGAUUCAUCGGGACAAUAUACUAUGGUAUAUGAGAUAUAAUCAUAAUUUUGCAGCCUUUCAGGAUUUCCCCUAACUUGGGGGUUUUGCAACCUUUGCGUGCAAUGGGUUAUGGUAAACAAUAAAUGAAUGAUGUUAAA